AACAUCGCGCACCUGCGGGAACCUGCGGAAGGAUCAUUACAUGGCGGAGAAGGUGGGCACCUGGGCAAACUCCAGGUUGUGAUGCCUUCACGCUCUUCCACCCUUGUCUAUUUGCACCUUCUGUCGUUCCCUCGGCGGGUUUCGACCCGCCGGCGGCAACAUUGAAAAACCUUUUUGCAGUUAGCAUCCGAUUCUUCUGAUCAAAAUAUCAAAUCGUUACAACUUUUAACAAUGGAUCUC
This 240-nucleotide unclassified non-coding RNA is filed under the name soil metagenome. RNAcentral describes it as "partial contains 5.8S ribosomal RNA, internal transcribed spacer 2, and large subunit ribosomal RNA". The record is from RNAcentral.